Molecule: ribosomal RNA, 477 nt
Filed under: Penicillium sp. GBPI_P98
Lineage: Eukaryota; Fungi; Ascomycota; Eurotiomycetes; Eurotiales; Aspergillaceae
Description: eukaryotic LSU rRNA
Rfam family: 5.8S ribosomal RNA (bases 170-323)
Source: RNAcentral
GGGGGGCCCUCUGGGUCCAACCUCCCACCCGUGUUUAUCGUACCUUGUUGCUUCGGCGGGCCCGCCUCACGGCCGCCGGGGGGCUUCUGCCCUCUGGCCCGCGCCCGCCGAAGACACCAUUGAACGCUGUCUGAAGAUUGCAGUCUGAGCAAUUAGCUAAAUAAGUUAAAACUUUCAACAACGGAUCUCUUGGUUCCGGCAUCGAUGAAGAACGCAGCGAAAUGCGAUACGUAAUGUGAAUUGCAGAAUUCAGUGAAUCAUCGAGUCUUUGAACGCACAUUGCGCCCCCUGGUAUUCCGGGGGGCAUGCCUGUCCGAGCGUCAUUGCUGCCCUCAAGCACGGCUUGUGUGUUGGGCCUCCGUCCUCCUCCCGGGGGACGGGCCCGAAAGGCAGCGGCGGCACCGCGUCCGGUCCUCGAGCGUAUGGGGCUUCGUCACCCGCUCUUGUAGGCCCGGCCGGCGCUUGCCGACACAUCAA